Molecule: long non-coding RNA, 1689 nt
Organism: Bos taurus (domestic cattle)
Lineage: Eukaryota; Metazoa; Chordata; Mammalia; Artiodactyla; Bovidae
Source: Ensembl
CUCCAUCUCCUGCUGGUGUUCCACACUGGCCAAACCCCAGGGAAGGCAGAAAGCCAGGGGGCGGGGGAGCUGUGGUCGGUCCACACAGGUGAGCCUUGUCAGGUCCUGAGCUGGAAGAGGGGGGUAAGGAGUGAACCCGGAUGGACAACGGCGAGACAGCCAGGGAUAUCUGUAUACCUCAGAGCCUUGCCUGACUUCUCAGCCCCUUGUCACUGGGCUGAUGGACUUCUCCACACCCUUCUUGGCCUCUAAGCCAGGGAAGGGAAAGCUCACCAUCUCUGGAGGGGAACCGGAGGGCCUACCACUGGGUUCUGGCUCUUGCCUCAGCAGCUGGGCCACCAGCUGGGGGCAGGCGGAGAGGAGCCAGAGCCAUGCUCAUUCCCUCCCCCAAAAAGAAGAAUCCCAGGAAGAGGCUCACUGGCCGUGAGCAAAGUUCAGCCCUACUCAGGCCUGUUAACAUCCUCUGGCAGCCAAGGGCACUGGAAGGAGGCAGAAGUCAGGAAAAUUCCAAGAAGCUUUUACUAAAAAUAAAUAGCCUCCUCUUACAAGAUGCCCAGCCAUUAAUUAGCCAUAGUACUUCUGUAAGAGGAGAGGCCCUUUGGCUACAGAAUAUGAAUUUUUAAAACUAAGCUUCAUCCAAAGUGGCAAUUAAGGGCUUCACCCAAUCAUAAUAAACCUUGGUCUUCCUUUCCUAAGCGAGCUCCGCAUCUUGCUGCCAGAACAAACCCAUCAGCUCAUUCCUGGUUUCCUUCUUAAAACAGAGCAGAGCCACGACACUCCGCAGAGCGAAGGCUCACAGCAGCCCUCGCCAGGUUCCCCAUGUCACCAGAGCAGUGCUGACACGGGUGCAGCAGACCCCAUGUGUCCUUCAGCCCAGGCCCAUGGGACUCCUUCCACAGAGGCCGUGCCGCAUCGUCUUGGUGUUGGCAGGAACUGAGCAAGAAUCUAUGCUCUUUUCCUUCACAGCAUUUAUGAGAGUUUGCAAUUUUACAUGUUAACAGGGACAAGCUUUUUUAUCCUGUGUAUAUUCUCUGCCUCUUUCCCUUCCUGCAUUCUGCCCCCUAAAGAAAAUCCUGGCUUGUCCACUGGGCACACUCCUUUCUCCUCCAUCUCAGAGUCAGCGUGGGGAGCUGGGUGUGAAGCUGGAGCAAGGGGCACAGAGCAAAAUGCUGGCAGAGCAGGGCAGGGGUGCAGUGGUGAGGCCAGCGGCGGAGAAGCAGCAGAGAGUUGGGCCUGUGAAGCAAAAGCAGAAGCCAAACACAACAAUCCACAGGCAGUGUGGCCCUACCCGCCUGCCAGCAUGUGACUCGUGGACAAGAAGAUGUCCAUCAGAAAGAAACAAGAAUGAAGGGGAUGGGGCAUGGUAAAAAGCUGGUUUUAAAAAGUCCUAAGGACCUCCCUUGGUGGUCCAGUGGUGAACCCACUGCCAAUGCAGGGGACAUGGGUCCAAUCCCUGGUCCUGGAAGAUCUCACAUGCUGUGAGGCAGCUGAGCCCCUGUGCCACAGCUACUAGUUCUGCAGUCUGGAGCAUGGGAGCUGCAACUGCUGAGCCCACGUGCUCUAGAGCCCGUGCCCUGCAACAAGAGAAGCCACCGCAAUGAGAAGCCUGCACACCACAACUACAGAGUAGCUCCCAAGGGCCACAACUAGAGAAAGUUUGGAAGCAGCAGUGAAGACCCAGUGCAGCCA